This is a small nucleolar RNA of Lycium ferocissimum, 91 nucleotides long. RefSeq annotates it as small nucleolar RNA U31b. The transcript has a single exon. Lineage: Eukaryota; Viridiplantae; Streptophyta; Magnoliopsida; Solanales; Solanaceae. The record is from RefSeq and is a predicted model, not a curated record.
GAAGUUAAUGAUAGUUAUUGUUGCCCCUGUCUUAACUUGCAUCCAAAAGAUUGGAUUUGCAAGAUGGUGAUUGACUUAUUAUAUCUGCUUC